Molecule: long non-coding RNA, 241 nt
Filed under: Physcomitrium patens
Lineage: Eukaryota; Viridiplantae; Streptophyta; Bryopsida; Funariales; Funariaceae
Description: long non-coding RNA (PPAT_LNC001891)
Source: RNAcentral
AGUUUCUUUGUCUUUUGGCAAUAGCCAUUCCAGUUUCUCUUUCAAUAUAUAUACUUAUUUAUUUAUAUUUUGUUACUUUUCUUUGAGUGAAGGCUCACUUGUCUGAAUUACUUUUUCAUCGAGUUUAUGUCCUUGACACAUGGUAUAAAAUGGGUAGGAUUUUUUUAUUUUAUAGUACAUAGUACGUAGGAUUAAGAAAAGCUAAUAAACUCAUAAAUGGAUAGUUUUAAAGAUAAGAUGG